Molecule: ribosomal RNA, 498 nt
Filed under: uncultured bacterium
Lineage: Bacteria
Description: partial 16S ribosomal RNA
Rfam family: Bacterial small subunit ribosomal RNA
Source: RNAcentral
GACGAACGCUGGCGGCGUGCCUAAUACAUGCAAGUCGAACGAGAGCGACCGGUGCUUGCACUGGUCAAUCUAGUGGCGAACGGGUGAGUAACACGUGGGUAACCUGCCCAUCAGAGGGGGAUAACAUCCGGAAACGGAUGCUAAAACCGCAUAGGUCUUCGAACCGCAUGGUUUGAAGAGGAAAAGAGGCGCAAGCUUCUGCUGAUGGAUGGACCCGCGGUGCAUUAGCUAGUUGGUGGGGUAACGGCUCACCAAGGCCGUGAUGCAUAGCCGACCUGAGAGGGUGAUCGGCCACAUUGGGACUGAGACACGGCCCAAACUCCUACGGGAGGCAGCAGUAGGGAAUCUUCCGCAAUGGACGCAAGUCUGACGGAGCAACGCCGCGUGAGUGAAGAAGGUGUUCGGAUCGUAAAACUCUGUUGUUAGAGAAGAACAAGUGCUAGAGUAACUGUUAGCGCCUUGACGGUAUCUAACCAGAAAGCCACGGCUAACUACGUG